RNAcentral lists this long non-coding RNA (943 nucleotides) under Bos taurus (domestic cattle). Its description in RNAcentral is "long non-coding RNA NONBTAT018462". Lineage: Eukaryota; Metazoa; Chordata; Mammalia; Artiodactyla; Bovidae. The record is from RNAcentral.
AUAGGAUUAUAAUGUGAAACACUCUGCCUCUAUUCAUUGCUUAAUAUGGGUUCUCAAAGCUCACAAAGAAAUAGAUCUAAUUAACUGAAAUUCAUCUCAUGUCUUUGUCUAACUUCUCUGGAAUACAUUUUGCUCUUUUUUUUCAAUAAAGAGUUUUGUGUUUGGCUUUUUAUUAUCAUGCAUAUUGUAAAAUGAAUAAAGCUGACUGACUCAUUUUGGGGAAAUAUACAUUUUUGAUGUGUUUUUCUCUGUGUCUAGGCAUUGUGAUGCCAUUUCAAACUAUGAAAUAAUCUAUUAACUGCACCUCGACAAAACUGGAAAACACUAUGGGUAAAGAGUACUGUAAACAUGGAAUUGUGAUGUAUGGUAUGUUUUUCCCCUUGCUUUGUCCCUUCCAGAAGGAUGAAAAUGAGUUUUUAAAUUAUGGCCAAAUGUAGCUUCCCUCACCUGCCACACACCUUUGAUCUUACAUUCAGAGAAAACAACUGUUCACAUCAAAUAAAAUUUGAGUAAUAGCUAUGAAAAACAUAAAACACCAAAAGCUGCCUAAAACACUGCUGUUUAUUCUAAAUGAGGAAGAACAAUGUAAAAAUGCAAUUUUUACCAAAACUUGCCUUUAGUCAGAACAUUCAAGCUCUCAGGGACCCAAGCAUAACUGAUGAAACUUUCUUCUAGACUUCAGAAAACAGAUUCUGACUCUAUCUAGGUUUUUUGUUAUUUUCAAUCUUUUUAAUGUGAGAUCAUUGUCAUUUUAAUGUUUCCCAUCUGUGUUGCACAGUAGAAUUGUCAUGUGUACCAAUUCCAGUGUUUGGAACAUGAAUAUGAUACAUGGAAAUAUGUUCGUUUUGGGUCAUAUAAUUACUCAUAAUGUGCAUGAAAAAUCCUAUCCCUUUUGAUAAGGAAAAGUUUUCAAAACAAAUUUCAGAUUUACUACCAUUUCCCU